UACGGAGACUGCGAGCGUUACUCGGAUUUACUGGGCGUAAAGGGUGCGUAGGCGGCAAUGUGUGUCAGGUGUGAAAUCUUGGGGCUUAACCCCAAAAUUGCGCUUGAAACUGCAUUGCUAGAGUGUCGGAGGGGCAAGCGGAAUUUCGAGUGUAGCAGUGAAAUGCGUAGAUAUUCGAAGGAACGCCAAUAGCGAAGGCAGCUUGCUGGACGAUUACUGACGCUGAGGCACGAAAGCGUGGGGAGCGAAAAGG
Molecule: ribosomal RNA, 253 nt
Filed under: uncultured bacterium
Lineage: Bacteria
Description: partial 16S ribosomal RNA
Rfam family: Bacterial small subunit ribosomal RNA
Source: RNAcentral